Molecule: ribosomal RNA, 253 nt
Filed under: uncultured bacterium
Lineage: Bacteria
Description: partial 16S ribosomal RNA
Rfam family: Bacterial small subunit ribosomal RNA
Source: RNAcentral
UACGUAGGGUGCAAGCGUUAAUCGGAAUUACUGGGCGUAAAGCGUGCGCAGGCGGCUUUGCAAGUCAGAUGUGAAAUCCCCGGGCUUAACCUGGGAACUGCAUUUGUGACUGCAUGGCUGGAGUGCGGCAGAGGGGGAUGGAAUUCCGCGUGUAGCAGUGAAAUGCGUAGAUAUGCGGAGGAACACCGAUGGCGAAGGCAAUCCCCUGGACCUGUACUGACGCUCAUGCACGAAGGCGUGGGGAGCGAACGGG